CAAGGAAUUUUCGGCAAUGGGCGCAAGCCUGACCGAGCAACGCCGCGUGCGGGAUGACGACCUUCGGGUUGUAAACCGCUUUUGGGGGGGAAGACUUCGACGGUACCCCCCGAAUAAGCCCCGGCUAACUCUGUGCCAGCAGCCGCGGUAAGACAGAGGGGGCCAGCGUUGUCCGGACUUACUGGGCGUAAAGCGUCCGCAGGUGGCACAGCAAGUGGCUGCUGAAAGUGCACGGCUUAACCGUGCGAGGCGUGGCCAAACUGCUGAGCUCGAGGCCGACAGAGGUCGCUGGAAUUGCCGGUGUAGUGGUGAAAUGCGUAGAGAUCGGCAGGAACACCAAGGGGGAAGCCAGGCGACUGGGUCGGUGCUGACACUCAGGGACGACAGCGUGGGGAGCCAACC
RNAcentral lists this ribosomal RNA (402 nucleotides) under uncultured prokaryote. Its description in RNAcentral is "bacterial SSU rRNA". It matches the Rfam family "Bacterial small subunit ribosomal RNA", at positions 355 to 774 of the family's 1533-position model. The record is from RNAcentral.